This 253-nucleotide ribosomal RNA is filed under the name uncultured bacterium. RNAcentral describes it as "partial 16S ribosomal RNA". It matches the Rfam family "Bacterial small subunit ribosomal RNA", at positions 524 to 776 of the family's 1533-position model. The record is from RNAcentral.
GACGAACCGUACGAACGUUAUUCGGAAUCACUGGGCUUAAAGGGUGCGUAGGCGGUGCGGAAAGUUGGGUGUGAAAUCCCUCGGCUCAACCGAGGAACUGCGCUCAAAACUACCGUGCUUGAGGGAGACAGAGGUGAGCGGAACUUAGGGUGGAGCGGUGAAAUGCGUUGAUAUCCUAAGGAACACCGGUGGCGAAGGCGGCUCACUGGGUCUCUUCUGACGCUGAGGCACGAAAGCUAGGGUAGCGAACGGG